Molecule: long non-coding RNA, 3253 nt
Organism: Macaca mulatta (Rhesus monkey)
Lineage: Eukaryota; Metazoa; Chordata; Mammalia; Primates; Cercopithecidae
Source: RefSeq, a predicted model, not a curated record
UUUAGCAGAGACAGGGUUUCACCAUGCUUGCCAGGCUGGUCUCGAACUCCUGACCUCAAGUGGUCUAGCUGCCUCAACCUCCCAAAGUGCUGGGAUUACAGGCUUGAGCCACUGUAUCGGUCCUGAAAUUUUAAAAUAUGACUUAUAUCCCUACCACACAGAGAUACCAAUUUUGGUAUAUUUUCUUGCAUUAAUUUUUUUCUAGUCACAGAUUUUAUUUUAUACAUGAUAUGAUCACACUGAAUAUAUAAUUUUGAUUAGAGAUUUAAACAUAUCUAUUUUGUAUUAGAAGCAUACAUCUUCUCAAGAAUAAUGUACCAUUAUUUAUUUUACUAUCACCCUUCUGUUUAACCAUUUUAUUUGUUUCCAAAAUUUUGCGACCCUAACAAAACAUGCCUGUACUUCUUUUUCCAUAAUUAUGUUUUUUAUUUAUUUAGAAACAUUUCUUGGUAAUAGAGUUGGUAGUAAUCCUAGGUUAAAGAUAUGAAUAUUUGAGGGGAUGAGGGAGUUCACUAAUAUAUAUUACAAAACUGGAACAUAUAUUUAAGAUUAGGAGUAUCAGAUACGUUCCAAAUAACAGGGUUAGUAACUUGGAUAAAAGCAAACUACAACUCAAAGACAUUAAAAUUUGUCCUGGUAGCUCUCUGAACUUUUGAUUGCUUACUUUCUUGUGCUCAUUUAUGUUCUAAAUAUUUGAGAUUCUGGAACAAGUGAUUUCUGGGAAAGAAAGAUGCUGUUUUAUAAAACACACCAUGCUAUACUUUUGCAUUCUGGUGUCUUUUAAGCAACUCAAUAGAAGACUUUUUAAUUUCGAGGAGAAACACAAUUUUUAUCUUUGUUUCCUUUAUUAAUGAGAUUAACUUUUUCUGUUACUGCAAGACUUCUUUAAUAAACUGUUUUUUUUCUAAUCACAGCUAGAAUGCAACAAAAAUACAUUAGAGAAUUACCUUUGAGAUAUCAUAAUUUAUGUGAAAUUAUUUUGAAAAGUGUUUGUUCAUGUCUUUUGCCCACUUUUUGAUGGCUUUUUUUCUUAUAUAUUUAAGUUUCUUAUAGAUGCUGUAAUUAAAUUUAAUUAUGAAGUAGAAAAAGCAGUGUAAGUUAUAUCUAGAUUUUUAGACUUUGUUGCUGUUGUGUCACCCCUUUUGAUUAAACCUGUUUGAAAAAUUGUUUAUCUCUCAUUUUACAAUGUCUGUUAAUAGAAACCUGGCUCCUUUCUCUCCACUUAUGUUACUUGCCUGUUCUAACAGGGCACAUAGUGCUGUAGAUGUAGAUGAAACAGCAUAAUCCUCAACUGCCCUCGUCAUCUCCUACUUCAACUUCUUCCAUCCAUUCAAACCCUUUAGUCGGUUUCUCAGAGCACAAAAGAUUUUGGAUGUUCAGAUUCAGGCACUUACUGAAUUUUUCUGCAUUGUAAAGGCUGGAAGAGAAAAGGUAUUUUUUUCUCUUGGAAGCUAGGAACAAUUUUUGCUCCAACAUCACGUGAAACUGAAAAAGUGGAGGUGGGGGUGGAAGAGAUUGUUACCCAGUGUGCUUCUUCCCUGGCCCAGACUGUGUUUCUAUACAAGUGGACCUCUGAGGACGUACAUUUGCCUAACAUCACUUUCUCCAACUUAGGACAACACUGGGCUUCCUGGAAGCUCAGUUCUCCUUACAGGGCAGGCCCAGACUCCCUAUUUCCAGAGAAAUUUCAGGGAUAUUGCUCAAUUGUCAACAGAAGCAAGGGAAACCCAAGCAUCUUAUAAUUUUUGUCUUUAUGGUAAUAGAUUUAGCUAGGAAAGUCAGGUUGGAUAAAUUUUGAAGGCUGCUCAGCCUUUUAUUUCAUUGCUUAUCUAAGCAACUUAACUUCUUUUGUUUUUAAAUUUAACUUUUAUUUUAAGUUCAGGGAUACAUGUACAUCUAGUUACUCAACUAAUGCACACAGUCUGCCUUAUCAGCCCCAACCUGAUGUCAUAAUGUAGCUUCAACGUAUUACUCUCAGAAUUUAGAUCUUCAUCCCAUUCUUCUUUCCUGAGCCCUUAGUUUAUACCCACGACUGCUUAGAGAUGUGUAGAUGCCACAUAGAAGUCUUAAAUAUCCUUGAACUCUAUGUUCCAACAGCAAACACUUUGGAUUUGCUUUUUAGCCACAGUCCUCAAACCUGCUCUUUUCUUUUGAAUAUCAAUUUCAAUAAAUUGUGCUAACAUCAACCCAGUCUCCUAUAUUAUUCUAGAUUCUUUUUCUUCACUCCUAUUUGUUUCUAAACUAAUUGUCGUUUAUUAAAAUUAUCAGUUCUACCUUUCAGCAGUGCCUAAGUCUAUCCAGACACUGAUUUGGUUCAAACCUCACCAUUUUAAAGAGCCAGCUUAUGAACUACCCCUGCUCUAAACAGGCUAUCCUAUCCAGCAAGAUCACUCAAUCCUGUGAACAGCCAAUGCCAUUCCAAGGAGAAGGCAUAUUAACUCAGAAAAUGCUGACACACCUGACCUUUCAUCCCUGCCACUAGUAGUUCUACAGAAGACCAGUGUGCAUGCAAACAAUUCACUUACAAGCAAGAAUUCCUACAAGUGUAAUAUAGUUUUGUGUAAAGUAUUAGUGAUAGAAUAUGUAUUUACAAAUUCCUUGGGAGGGGUUGCAAACUGGAAUGACCACAAGGUCCAGCCAGUGAUGGAGUGGGAACUGUGGGCAAGAGGAGAUGCCUUGUGGAGUCCAAAGUUGGCAGUGACUGUUCAGCACCAGACACAUUGCCAUAUGGGAACUUGGGAUUCAGGUGGUUGGGUCUCCUGCAUUUUGAGAGAAGCUAGAAAUGUCUUGGUAUUUAAAUGUGACAACUAACAUAGGAAUUUUUUUUUUUUUUUAAAAAACAUGAUGAAGUCAAGUGUAUACAGGUUUUGUUUUAAGGGACUUAGAAAUAAGCAAGAGCUUCAGAAUGGUAUCCUGGGUCAGCUCUUCUAUUUUAAUUAACUUAAUAUCUACUACCAAACCCAUGUGAAACAUUUAAAGAUUAGAGAGUUGGGGUAUUAACAUCUCUGGUGUGCAUUCAGAAGUGUAUAUUAGCUAGGCAGACUGAUCUCAAUAUACAUUAAGACACUAUUGCUGUGGAAAUUGUCUGGAAAUUGAAAUAUUUCCAAAGUCACUUCGUGGAGCAUUAUUUAGGGCUAAACAGAACAUGAGAAUCUCAGUUUUCCUCAAAGUUCUUUGUAGAAUAAUCUUAGUUAUAUUUCCAAAAUUAUAUUUGAUACUGGUUAAUAAAGGUAAAUGCUGCUAUCUGAACUCA